Molecule: ribosomal RNA, 826 nt
Filed under: uncultured archaeon
Lineage: Archaea
Description: bacterial SSU rRNA
Rfam family: Archaeal small subunit ribosomal RNA
Source: RNAcentral
GCUUUGUCAGUUUUCGGUUAAAUCCAUACGCUCAACGUAUGGGCUGCCGGAAAUACUGCAAAGCUAGGGAGUGGGAGAGGUAGACGGUACUCGGGAGGAAGGGGUAAAAUCCUUUGAUCUCUCGAUGACCACCUGUGGCGAAGGCGGUCUACCAGAACACGUCCGACGGUGAGGGAUGAAAGCUGGGGGAGCAAACCGGAUUAGAUACCCGGGUAGUCCCAGCUGUAAACUAUGCAAACUCAGUGAUGCAUUGGCUUGAUGCCAAUGCAGUGUUGCAGGGAAGCCGUUAAGUUUGCCGCCUGGGAAGUACGUACGCAAGUAUGAAACUUAAAGGAAUUGGCGGGGGAGCACCACAAGGGGUGAAGCCUGCGGUUCAAUUGGAGUCAACGCCAGAAAUCUUACCCGGAGAGACAGCAGAAUGAAGGUCAAGCUGAAGACUUUACCAGACAAGCUGAGAGGUGGUGCAUGGCCGUCGCCAGCUCGUGCCGUGAGAUGUCCUGUUAAGUCAGGUAACGAGCGAGAUCCUUGCCUCUAGUUGCCACCAUUACUCUCAGGAGUAGUGGGGCGAAUUAGCGGGACCGCCGUAGUUAAUACGGAGGAAGGAAGGGGCCACGGCAGGUCAGUAUGCCCCGAAACUCUGGGGCCACACGCGGGCUGCAAUGGUAACGACAAUGUGUUCCAAAUCCGAAAGGAGGAGGUAAUCCUCAAACGUUACCACAGUUAUGACUGAGGGCUGCAACUCGCCCUCACGAAUAUGGAAUCCCUAGUAACUGCGUGUCAUUAUCGCGCGGUGAAUACGUCCCUGCUCCUUGCACACACCGCCCGU